RNAcentral lists this ribosomal RNA (691 nucleotides) under Ophioceras sp. 3SF2. Its description in RNAcentral is "SSU rRNA". It matches the Rfam family "Eukaryotic small subunit ribosomal RNA", at positions 857 to 1575 of the family's 1831-position model. Lineage: Eukaryota; Fungi; Ascomycota; Sordariomycetes; Magnaporthales; Ophioceraceae. The record is from RNAcentral.
CCGCCGUAAUGAUUAAUAGGGACAGUCGGGGGCGUCAGUAUUCAAUUGUCAGAGGUGAAAUUCUUGGAUUUAUUGAAGACUAACUACUGCGAAGGCAUUCGCCAAGGAUGUUUUCAUUAAUCAGGAACGAAAGUUAGGGGAUCGAAGACGAUCAGAUACCGUCGUAGUCUUAACCGUAAACUAUGCCUGUUAGGGAUCGGACGGUGUUAUUUUGUGACCCGUCCGGCACCUUACACGAAAGUACAAACGAGGCUCCUGGGGAAAUACGUCGGCAACGAUGAAACUUAAAGAAAUUGACGGAAGGGCACCACCAGGGGUGGAGCCUGCGGCUUAAUUUGACUCAACACGGGGAAACUCACCAGGUCCAGACACAACGAGGAUUGACAGAUUGAGAGCUCUUUCUUGAUUUUGUGGGUGGUGGUGCAUGGCCGUUCUUAGUUGGUGGAGUCAUUUGUCUGCUUAAUUGCGAUAACGAACGAGACCUUAACCUGCUAAAUAGCCCGCGUCGCUUUGGCGGCGUGCCGGCUUCUUAGAGGGACUAUCGGCUUAAGCCGAUGGAAGUUUGAGGCAAUAACAGGUCUGUGAUGCCCUUAGAUGUUCUGGGCCGCACGCGCGCUACACUGACACAGCCAGCGAGUUCUUCCUUGGCCGAAAGGCCCGGGUAAUCUUGUUAAACUGUGUCGUGCUGGGG